This 265-nucleotide long non-coding RNA is filed under the name Capsella rubella. Its description in RNAcentral is "long non-coding RNA (CRUB_LNC002996)". Lineage: Eukaryota; Viridiplantae; Streptophyta; Magnoliopsida; Brassicales; Brassicaceae. The record is from RNAcentral.
UUUUUUUUUUUGUCAUCACAAUAACUAGAUUUACAAGUUUCUCGUAAACAAACUCUCCACUAGAAAGAGUCAUUAUGUAAAUAGUCAGAUCUUCUCUUGCCAGGGGACAAUGGCGGACCCAAAAUAAUUUUUACGGGAGUCAUUAAUAUUAGUUAUAAAAUAAUUUCCUUUAAACACUAUAAUUAUUUUUAUGAAAUACAUAUAUAAACAAAAAUUCCCAACAUAAGUGGUUGUGAUUUCAAUAACAUUUGAAAACUUGACUAAA